Molecule: ribosomal RNA, 460 nt
Filed under: uncultured bacterium
Lineage: Bacteria
Description: partial 16S ribosomal RNA
Rfam family: Bacterial small subunit ribosomal RNA
Source: RNAcentral
CCUACGGGUGGCAGCAGUGAGGAAUAUUGGUCAAUGGCCGGAAGGCUGAACCAGCCAUGCCGCGUGAAGGUCGGUGCCCUAUGGGCGUUAAACUUCUUUUGUGCGGGAGCAAUAAUGGUCACGUGUGGCCAGACGAGAGUACCGUACGAAUAAGCAACGGCUAACUCAGUGCAAGCAGCCGCGGGAAUAGGGGGGAUGCAAGCGUUAUCCGUAUUUAUUGGGUUUUAAGGGUGCGUAAGCUGUGAGGUAAGUCAGCGGUGAAAUGCCCCCGCUUAACGGGGUGAAGUGCCAUUGAUACUGGCUUGCUGGAGUGCGGAUGCGGUGGGAGGAAUGUGUGGUGUAGCGGUGAAAUGCGUAGAUAUCACACAGAACACCGAUUGCGAAGGCAUCUCACGAAUCCGCGAUUGACGCUGAUGCACGAAAGCGUGGGUAUCAAACAGGAUUAGAUACCCUAGUAGUC